RNAcentral lists this ribosomal RNA (296 nucleotides) under uncultured bacterium. RNAcentral's name for it is "partial 16S ribosomal RNA". It matches the Rfam family "Bacterial small subunit ribosomal RNA", at positions 28 to 320 of the family's 1533-position model. The record is from RNAcentral.
GACGAACGCUGGCGGCGUGCUUAACACAUGCAAGUCGAGCGGUAAGGCCCUUUCGGGGGUACACGAGCGGCGAACGGGUGAGUAACACGUGGGUGACCUGCCCUUAGCUCUGGGAUAAGCCUGGGAAACGUGGGUCUAAUACCGGAUAUGACUCCAGUGACGGCAUGUUGUGGGGUGGAAAGCCUUGUGCGGCUAGGGAUGGGCCCGCGGCCUAUCAGCUUGUUGGUGGGGUGAUGGCCUACCAAGGGCGACGACGGGUAGCCGGCCUGAGAGGGCGACCGGCCACACUGGGGACU